Molecule: ribosomal RNA, 363 nt
Filed under: uncultured bacterium
Lineage: Bacteria
Description: bacterial SSU rRNA
Rfam family: Bacterial small subunit ribosomal RNA
Source: RNAcentral
AACGAACGCUGGCGGCAGGCUUAACACAUGCAAGUCGAACGGGCGUAGCAAUACGUCAGUGGCGGACGGGUGAGUAACACGUGGGAAUGUGCCUUUCGGUUCGGAACAACUCGGGGAAACCCGUGCUAAUUCCGGAUACGCCCUUACGGGGAAAGAUUUAUCGCCGAAAGAUCAGCCCGCGUCCGAUUAGCUAGUUGGUGAGGUAAAGGCUCACCAAGGCACCGAUCGGUAGCUGGUUUGAGAGAACGACCAGCCACACUGGGACUGAGACACGGCCCAGACUCCUACGGGAGGCAGCAGUGGGGAAUCUUGGACAAUGGGCGCAAGCCUGAUCCAGCCAUGCCGCGUGAGUGAUGAAGGCCU